GAGAUACUGAAGAAUCAACUAGACAGCCAUGUGGGUGCGCCAUCUUCUAAACAGAUCCUCCAGCCCCAGAUGAGCCUGCAUGUGACUGCAGUCUUGGCUGACAUCUUGACAACAACCUCAUGAGAGACCCUGAGCCAGAACCACUCACCUCAGUCUCCCUUGAGCUCAUGGCCUACCGGGUAUUGUUGCCUUCAGCUGCUAAAUUUUGAGAGUCUACAUCUCUGAGGACAGGAGCAGAGUAUGGUUCAUUUCUGAGUCAUCCAGAAGGCCUGGACCUUGCCUGCUACAAAAAAAUCAAGGGCUAUACCUACUGGCUUACUUCUGAUUGCUUUGCCACUUACUAGUCGUGUCAUCUUCUUCAAUAUGUCUUUGUUCAAUGACUGAACGACUGAAUGAACACAUGACGAGAAAGAGACUUUUGAACCUGUGGAGUCCAGAGGCUGUGAAAUGAAGAAACCUGGAAGAAGGUAAUAGAAUGUUUAUAGACUGACAGAGAGAAUGGAGGAAGGUUUCUCAGCAUAAAUAUCUCGCGUCAAAAGAACACUCCAGAAAUACUUCCAAGGUGCCCUAUCCGUAUAGAGUGGAACUUUAAAACCGGAGAAAAAGUCCAACGAAAUAAGUCAAGUGGAAUAUGUUGUCUUCUACCAUAUUUAGGCAGAGAUCUUGACUAAUUAAUCUUCAAAGAAGUGAAAAUAAUCUACUCUUGAACUUAAUUAUGCAAAUAAAACAAUUCUAAUUUCGGAAA
Molecule: long non-coding RNA, 745 nt
Filed under: Equus caballus (horse)
Lineage: Eukaryota; Metazoa; Chordata; Mammalia; Perissodactyla; Equidae
Description: lncRNA (ENSECAG00000036529.3)
Source: RNAcentral